Molecule: long non-coding RNA, 872 nt
Organism: Cebus imitator (Panamanian white-faced capuchin)
Lineage: Eukaryota; Metazoa; Chordata; Mammalia; Primates; Cebidae
Exons: 2
Source: RefSeq, a predicted model, not a curated record
UAAAAUAUGAGAACUGUUGACAGGAAGCUGCAGCUUGGAUGGGAUGAUCACAACUCCAGGGCAAUGAGAUGACACGAAGUUGCAGGAGAGACCCCAGGGGACAAGAGUCUCUUGCCGUCUGCCCCAGGGCCCAGCCCUCCUUGUCCUCCCUGGCUGUUAUCUUCGGUACUACAAAGAGAACACAGACAUAUCUGACCUGGUGACCUGGCUGUACUGGAAAAGUCAGCUUCAUCAAAUUCUUUACACAAGGAAAAUACAAGGAAAGGGACAAGCCUCAUUGACUUGGAGACAAGAUGAAUGAGAACAGCACCAAAAGCCCCCUAGCCCCAGACUGCACCCACUUUCCUGGCCCUACCUUGAAAUCCAUCAGGUCUGCAUUGGACACGGCAUUGUACAUGGGGUUAGCUCUGGUCUGACCUGGAAGCUGGAAUGCCAGAAAGAGGAGGAAGCUCACGGUGACAGUGGAGAAGGAGCCCAUGCUGGUGUAGUCAAGGAGCGAUCCACUGCUUGCUGCUGUCUCUCCCCUCUGGUUCCUCUCUGUUUCCCCUCUCUUGGCCUACGUCCGUCCCUGUCUCCGAACUGCCCAGCGCCUCCUCUUUUUAUAGUCCUCCCCACUCUUCAAGCACGCAGGAGAGACAGAACCCUCCCCAUUCUGUCACUUGCAGCGAUAAAGCAGCUGAGUGAGAAGCCAGCAGGAGAUGCCCUUUUAAAGUUAUCAUCCCACAGGGCUUGUCACAGCCCCUCUGCCUUGGGCAGCCCCAACAGCCCCCCAGACCCUCCGCUGCAAGAGCCGAAUUCUUGCUGAUUUGACUCAAGAGGCUCCCACUUCAAAGGUGUGGGAAGAGCAAAAAAGAGUCCUUGGUUAUCUCACC